Molecule: long non-coding RNA, 1729 nt
Organism: Salvelinus sp. IW2-2015
Lineage: Eukaryota; Metazoa; Chordata; Actinopteri; Salmoniformes; Salmonidae
Source: RefSeq, a predicted model, not a curated record
CUGCAGACCCCCUGGGCAGGAAUACCCAGAAGCCUCUACCUGCAGACUCCUGGGCAGGAAUAUCCAGAAGCCUCUACCUGCUGACCCCCUGGGCAGGAAUAUCCAGAAGCCUUUACCUGCCGACCCACUGGCAGGAAUACCCAGAAGCCUCUACCUGCAGACCUCCUGGGCAGGAAUAUCCAGAAGCCUCUACCUGCUGACCCCCUGGGCAGGAAUAUCCAGAAGCCUUUACCUGCCGACCCACUGGGCAGGAAUACCCAGAAGCCUCUACCUGCCUACCCCCUGGGCAGGAAUACCCAGAAGCCUUUGCCUGCUAACCCUAACUCCCCCGGAAGGAGUGGUCAUCUGAUUCGUAGCCCCAUUGCUGUCGGAGUCCCCAUCCCUGUACCUGUCCCCGGUGUACCUGUCCCCGGUGUCCCCAUCCCUGUACCUGUCYCCGGUGUCCCCAUCCCUGUACCUGUCUCCGGUGUCCCCAUCCCUGUACCUGUCYCCRGUGUCCCCAGGCCGCUGAGACCUGUUCCACACCACAACAGGUCUGUUCCUAAGCAACCCCCAACACUACCUAAGCCUCGUAUGAUCGUCCACGCCAAGUUCAGCAGCUGAGAGCAGCUGGAUUAAACUGAAGGGAAUUUAAAGGACGUUCUUUCUGUAAAACGAUAAAGACAUUUCACUUGCACUAUGAAACCUUAAGAUGUGGUGUCUCUGAGUUUUGAAUAAUGGGGACGGACCGUUGGGCGGUUGGCGUGUCAGCGAGUCAGUCCCCCCCCCCGUUGGUGCUCUGAUGUCAGAGGUGCUAUAGGUCUGAGCUCAGGUACAUGUAUGUAAAGUAUUUAUGUUUUGUGUAUUUAUUAAUUAGUUACCACACAGUGCACUGUACCAGACACUUGGGAUUAAAUUUGUAGUCUUUGAUWAUUUUUUAUUUGUUUUCUACUGUUAGCCAUUUGAUUUCAAUCAUGGGGAUAUUUUAACCUGUUUUGAUGGACAGGAAGCCAGGGGAAAAGUACAACUUAACAAAGCCUGUCUCUGGAGGUCUGGGAAGUUGUAAAGACCCUAACAUGGCGAUCAAUGAAAUGGAUUCAGAACAAAGGGAAAGACGACUACAAACAUCAGAAAGGGCGACUUUCAUCCGCACUUGGGUUGACGGACUCGGGUUGACGGACUUGGGUUGACGGACUCGGGUUGACGGACUCGGGUUGACGGACGUGGGUUGACGGACUCGGGUUGACGGACUUGGGUUGACGGACUCGGGUUGACGGACUUGGGUUGCGUAUGACGCCACCUGCUGUAAGACAAUGGCAUCAGUGGUAAAUCCUGCCGCAGGUCUUCCUCCAUCCAGUAUACAGCCAGCUGUUUCUCCCUCUGUGACCGUACUAUGUAUGCACUGAUGCUGAGAGACUGAGCCCUGAGGAACACCAAUAACAACCUUACACCAACCUUACAACAACCAUACACAAACCUAACACACACCACCCUUACACCAGCUAUAUACCAAUCUUUCACCAACUAUAUACCAACCAUACACCAACCUUACACAAGCUAUACACCAAUCUUUCACCAACCUUUCACCAACCUUACACCAGCUAUACACCAAUCUUUCACCAACUAUACACCAACCUUUCACCAACCUUACACAAGCUAUACACAAUCUUUCACCACAUAUACACCAACCUUACACCAGCUAUACACCAAUCUUUCACCAACUAUACACCAACCUUUCACCAACCUUACA